GAAUUAAAGUAUGGUUUUCAAAAAAAUAGUUUUUAAUUUUCUUUAUAUUUAUAAUUUUAUAAAAUUUUACUAAAAUAGAAGAAAAAAUUUUUAUGUUCAAAAAUUGAAUAAAGAAGUUAAUUAAGAUAUGGCGAAACUUGUGCCAGCCGCCGCGGUUAUACAAGUAAAUCAAUUUUUUUUUUCUUUUUUUUUUAAAAAAAAAUUUUUUUUAAUGUUUUAAAAAUUUGAUUAGGUGAAAUUAGCAAAUUUUAUAAUCAAAAAAUUGAUUUUUUGAAAUUUAUUUAUAAACUAGGAUUAGAUACCCUAUUAUUUUAAGCUAUAAUAUGUUAGUAACUAAAAUUUAUGAAAUCAAAAAAUUUUGGCGGUAUUUUAAGCUUUUUAGAGGAAUUUGCUCUUUAAUGGAUAAAACGCCUUGAUCUUACUUAAUUUUGUUAUGCCAGUUUGUAUACCACUAUAAAAAAUAAUAUUGAAUAAUUAAUUAUUGGAAUUUUUUUUGUAAAAAAAAUAAAAAGUUAAGUCAAGGUGCAGCAUAAAGUUAUGAAUGAAGUGAAUUACAUUGAUUUUUAUUAAUAUUAUAUAUAUGAAAUAAAAUUUAUAGGAUUUAAAAGUAAGUUAGUGAUAUUAUAAUUGACUGAAAAAAGCUCUAAAAUAUGUACAUAUCGCCCGUCGCUCUCUAUUUGGGAUAAGUCGUAACAAAGUAAAAAUACUGGAAAGUGUUUUU
RNAcentral lists this non-coding RNA (721 nucleotides) under Ixodes tasmani (Tasmanian possum tick). Lineage: Eukaryota; Metazoa; Arthropoda; Arachnida; Ixodida; Ixodidae. The record is from RNAcentral.